RNAcentral lists this ribosomal RNA (161 nucleotides) under uncultured bacterium. RNAcentral describes it as "partial 16S ribosomal RNA". It matches the Rfam family "Bacterial small subunit ribosomal RNA", at positions 358 to 511 of the family's 1533-position model. The record is from RNAcentral.
GGAAUCUUCCACAAUGGACGCAAGUCUGAUGGAGCAACGCCGCGUGAGUGAAGAAGGGUUUCGGCUCGUAAAGCUCUGUUGUUAAAGAAGAACGUGGGUAAGAGUAACUGUUUACCCAGUGACGGUAUUUAACCAGAAAGUCACGGCUAACUACGUGCCAG